This 72-nucleotide microRNA precursor is filed under the name Pan troglodytes (chimpanzee). RNAcentral's name for it is "miRNA (ENSPTRG00000040481.2)". Lineage: Eukaryota; Metazoa; Chordata; Mammalia; Primates; Hominidae. The record is from RNAcentral.
UAGAGAGGAAGGUGUACCAGGGUUUGGGGUUUUUUUUUUUCCUCCUGAGACCCUAGUUCCACAUUCUGGAGC